GUGCCAGCCGCCGCGGUAAUACCGGCAGCUCAAGUGAUGGCUGAUUUUAUUGGGCCUAAAGCGUCCGUAGCUGGCCGAGCAAGUCUGUUGGGAAAUCCAGUGGCCUAACCACUGGCCGUCCGAUGGAAACUGUUCGGCUUGGGACCGGAAGACUCGAGGAGUACGUCAGGGGUAGGAGUGAAAUCCCAUAAUCCCUGACGGACUACCGAUGGCGAAAGCACCUCGAGAGGACGGAUCCGACAGUGAGGGACAAAAGCUGGGGUCUCGAACCGGAUUAGAUACCCUGGUAGUCC
RNAcentral lists this ribosomal RNA (293 nucleotides) under uncultured bacterium. Its description in RNAcentral is "partial 16S ribosomal RNA". It matches the Rfam family "Archaeal small subunit ribosomal RNA", at positions 455 to 747 of the family's 1478-position model. The record is from RNAcentral.